RNAcentral lists this ribosomal RNA (395 nucleotides) under Chiasmocleis crucis. Its description in RNAcentral is "partial large subunit ribosomal RNA". It matches the Rfam family "Bacterial large subunit ribosomal RNA", at positions 2006 to 2567 of the family's 2925-position model. Lineage: Eukaryota; Metazoa; Chordata; Amphibia; Anura; Microhylidae. The record is from RNAcentral.
GAGGAUUAUACUGUCUCCCCCCCUAAAUCACAGAAACUGAUCCCCCCGUGAAGAAGCGGGGAUAAAUAUAUAAAACGAGAAGACCCUAUGGAGCUUUAAACUCAACACCACUUACCUCAAUUGAUCCCCUUACAAACAGGUAAAGAUCGUGUAUGUUUUCAGUUGGGGUGACUGCGGAGCAAAAUAAAACCUCCACGAUGAAAAAUAACCUCUAAUCCAAGAACAACAUUUCAAAGAAUCAACAAAUUGACAUCAAUUGACCCAAAUAAUAAUUUGAUCAACGAACCAUGUUACCCUAGGGAUAACAGCGCAUUCCAUUUCAAGAGCUCAUAUCGACAAAUGGGUUUACAACCUCGAUUUUGGAUCAGGGUAUCCCAGUGGUGCAGCCCCUACUA